CCUACGGGAGGCAGCAGUGGGGAAUAUUGCACAAUGGGGGAAACCCUGAUGCAGCGACGCCGCGUGGAGGAAGAAGGUCUUCGGAUUGUAAACUCCUGUCCUUGGGGACGAUAAUGACGGUACCCAAGGAGGAAGCACCGGCUAACUACGUGCCAGCAGCCGCGGUAAAACGUAGGGUGCAAGCGUUGUCCGGAAUUACUGGGUGUAAAGGGAGCGCAGGCGGCACGGCAAGCCUGAUGUGAAAGCCCGCGGCCCAACCGCGGGACUGCAUUGGGAACUACCGGGCUGGAGUGCCGGAGAGGUCG
This 305-nucleotide ribosomal RNA is filed under the name uncultured bacterium. RNAcentral describes it as "bacterial SSU rRNA". It matches the Rfam family "Bacterial small subunit ribosomal RNA", at positions 338 to 660 of the family's 1533-position model. The record is from RNAcentral.